AGUGAACGCUGGCGGUAGGCCUAACACAUGCAAGUCGAACGGCAGCACAGUAAGAGCUUGCUCUUACGGGUGGCGAGUGGCGGACGGGUGAGGAAUACAUCGGAAUCUACUUUUUCGUGGGGGCUAACGGAGGGAAACUUACGCUAAUACCUCAUACGACCUACGGGUGAAAGCAGUGGAUCUUCGGACCUUGCGCGAUUGAAUGAGCCGAUGUCGGAUUAGCUAGUUGGCGGGGUAAAGGCCCACCAAGGCGACGAUCCGUAGCUGGUCUGAGAGGAUGAUCAGCCACACUGGAACUGAGACACGGUCCAGACUCCUACGGGAGGCAGCAGUGGGGAAUAUUGGACAAUGGGCGCAAGCCUGAUCCAGCCAUACCGCGUGGGUGAAGAAGGCCUUCGGGUUGUAAAGCCCUUUUGUUGGGAAAGAAAAGCAGCAGGUUAAUACCCCGCUGUUCUGACGGUACCCAAAGAAUAAGCACCGGCUAACUUCGUG
This 492-nucleotide ribosomal RNA is filed under the name uncultured bacterium. RNAcentral's name for it is "partial 16S ribosomal RNA". It matches the Rfam family "Bacterial small subunit ribosomal RNA", at positions 29 to 507 of the family's 1533-position model. The record is from RNAcentral.